Molecule: ribosomal RNA, 780 nt
Filed under: uncultured bacterium
Lineage: Bacteria
Description: bacterial SSU rRNA
Rfam family: Bacterial small subunit ribosomal RNA
Source: RNAcentral
GGAUUAGUGGCGCACGGGUGAGUAAUAUAUAGAUAACGUGCCUCUUAGUCUGGGAUAGCCAUUGGAAACGAUGAUUAAUACUAGAUACUCCUUCUCCUUCUAAUUGGAGUUGGGAAAGUUUUUCGCUAAGAGAUCGGUCUAUAUCCCAUCAGCUUGUUGGUAGUGUAAGAGACUACCAAGGCUAUGACGGGUAGCGGGUUUGAGAGGAUGAUCCGCCACACUGGUACUGAGACACGGACCAGACUCCUACGGGAGGCAGCAGUGAGGAAUAUUGCACAAUGGGGGAAACCCUGAUGCAGCAACGCCGCGUGGAGGAUGACGCAUUUCGGUGUGUAAACUCCUUUUAUAUGUCAAGAAAAUGACGGUAGCAUAUGAAUAAGCACCGGCUAACUCCGUGCCAGCAGCCGCGGUAAUACGGAGGGUGCAAGCGUUAUUCGGAAUCACUGGGCGUAAAGGACGCGUAGGCGGGAUGCCAAGUCUGAUGUGAAAUCCUAUGGCUUAACCAUAGAACUGCAUUGGAAACUGGUAACCUAGAGUAUGGGAGGGGGAGAUGGAAUUAGUGGUGUAGGGGUAAAAUCCGUAGAUAUCACUAGGAAUACCGAAAGCGAAGGCGAUCUCCUGGAACAAUACUGACGCUAAGGCGUGAAAGCGUGGGGAGCAAACGGGAUUAGAUACCCCCGGUAGUCCACGCCCUAAACGAUGUUCACUAGUCGUCGGAAUGCUAGUCAUUUCGGUGAUGCACUUAACAGAUUAAGUGAACCGCCUGGGGGAGUACGGUCG